UAAUACGUAGGGUGCAAGCGUUAUCCGGAAUCACUGGGCGUAAAGCGUGCGUAGGUGGCGUGUUAAGUGUGAUGUUAAAACGUGGGGCUCAACCCUGUCGGUGCAUCACAUACUGGCAUGCUAGAGGACGGCAGAGGCAAGUGGAACUGGUAGUGUAGCAGUGAAAUGCGUAGAUAUUACCAAGAACACCAAUGGCGAAGGCAGCUUGCUGGGCCACUCCUGACACUGAGGUACGAAAGCGUGGGGAGCGAACAGGAUUAGAUACCCUGGUAGUCCACGCCGUAAACGAUGCAUACUAGUCUUAUGGGGUAUCGACCCCCUGUGAGACGCAGCUAACGCGAUAAGUAUGCCGCCUGGGAAGUACGGCCGCAAGGCUA
RNAcentral lists this ribosomal RNA (377 nucleotides) under uncultured bacterium. RNAcentral describes it as "bacterial SSU rRNA". It matches the Rfam family "Bacterial small subunit ribosomal RNA", at positions 521 to 896 of the family's 1533-position model. The record is from RNAcentral.